UGAGGAAUAUUGCACAAUGGGCGCAAGCCUGAUGCAGCAACGCCGCGUGAGGGACGAAGGCCUUCGGGUCGUAAACCUCUUUUCUGAGGGACGAGUAAGGACGGUACCUCAGGAAUAAGUCUCGGCUAACUACGUGCCAGCAGCCGCGGUAAAACGUAGGAGGCGAGCGUUAUCCGGAUUUACUGGGCGUAAAGCGUACGCAGGUGGCUUCGUGAGUCGGACAUGAAAGCUCCUGGCUUAACUGGGAGAGGUUGUUCGAUACUGCGGGGCUUGAGGUUGGGAGAGGGACGUGGAAUUCCCGGUGUAGUGGUGGAAUGCGUAGAUAUCGGGAGGAACACCAGUGGCGCAAGCGGCGUCCUGGCCCACACCUGACGCUGAGGUACGAAAGCGUGGGUAGCAAACAGG
Molecule: ribosomal RNA, 405 nt
Filed under: uncultured prokaryote
Also listed under: 1 other name
Description: bacterial SSU rRNA
Rfam family: Bacterial small subunit ribosomal RNA
Source: RNAcentral